Non-coding RNA from Dipodomys ordii (Ord's kangaroo rat), 65 nucleotides. Lineage: Eukaryota; Metazoa; Chordata; Mammalia; Rodentia; Heteromyidae. The record is from Rfam.
GGUGGCUCAGUGGUAGAGUGCUUGCCUUGCAUGCAUGAGGUCAUGGGUUCGAUUCCUCAGCACCA